This 498-nucleotide ribosomal RNA is filed under the name uncultured bacterium. RNAcentral describes it as "partial 16S ribosomal RNA". It matches the Rfam family "Bacterial small subunit ribosomal RNA", at positions 28 to 523 of the family's 1533-position model. The record is from RNAcentral.
GAUGAACGCUAGCGGCAGGCCUAAUACAUGCAAGUCGGACGGGAUUGAGGAGCUUGCUUCUCAUGAGAGUGGCGCACGGGUGCGUAACACGUAUGUAACCUACCUUAAUCAGGGGGAUAGCCUCUCGAAAGAGAGAUUAACACCGCAUAACAUGAUGAGAUAGCGUUAUUUUAUCAUCAAAUAUUUAUAGGAUUAAGAUGGGCAUGCGGGACAUUAGCUAGUUGGCGGGGUAACGGCCCACCAAGGCGACGAUGUCUAGGGGAUCUGAGAGGAUGGCCCCCCACACUGGUACUGAGACACGGACCAGACUCCUACGGGAGGCAGCAGUAAGGAAUAUUGGUCAAUGGGCGCAAGCCUGAACCAGCCAUGCCGCGUGCAGGAAGACGGCCCUACGGGUUGUAAACUGCUUUUGUACGGGAAUAAACCUUGAUACGUGUAUCAAGCUGAAUGUACUGUAAGAAUAAGGAUCGGCUAACUCCGUGCCAGCAGCCGCGGUAA